This 224-nucleotide ribosomal RNA is filed under the name uncultured bacterium. Its description in RNAcentral is "partial 16S ribosomal RNA". It matches the Rfam family "Bacterial small subunit ribosomal RNA", at positions 15 to 230 of the family's 1533-position model. The record is from RNAcentral.
GAUCCUGGCUCAGGAUGAACGCUAGCGAUAGGCUUAACACAUGCAAGUCGAGGGGCAGCAUGGUCUUAGCUUGCUAAGACUGAUGGCGACCGGCGCACGGGUGCGUAACGCGUAUGCAACUUGCCUCACAGAGGGGGAUAACCCGUCGAAAGACGGACUAAUACCGCGUACACUCCAGCUUGGGCAUCCAAGGUAGAGGAAAUGAAAUUCGCUGUGAGAUAGGC